AAAACAUUAAAACUAAAAGUGGAUAUUCAGGAUUUCCAUCAGUUUGUGGUGAGAAUUAUUCUGUGGUGUGAGCAGUGAUGACAUCUCUUUCAGUUCCUGAGCCGAUUACAGCACUUCUGCAGAGAGAGUUCAGCAGAUGGGAAAGUAUAAUCAUAGAUGGUGUUCAGGAAAGUUUGCAAGACAUAAAAUCAUCAUUUGAGCUCUCUCAGGCUGAGAAGAGGCAAAUGUCAAUGCAUGCUGUUGACAGAUUGUUACAAAAUUACAACCAUUAUGUUAUACAUACUAUUGAUAAAAUACAAGCUCCAGAAUCAAGGAUCAGGACAAAGAGACUGAAGACAUGAUGACACUGUACAGUAGAGUUUGUGCCGUCAAAUGUUGUAUAAAUGCAAUAUCACACUCAUAGCCUUGAGAUAUCACUCUAUAUCAGCAUGGCUGAUUAACUGCGACCUUGUGUUUACGGCUAAACUGAUAUAGAGUGAUAUCCACAACUAUGAGUGUGAUAUUGUUCCUAUAUUCACAUUUAAAUAAAAUGUGUACACAGUGGUUUUAAAUCUGAUGCACCUCCUAUUGAAUUCUAUGUAUACUCUGUCUAUUUUGUUGAUGCAUGUUUAUAUAUUUGUUUUUCUUGCAGGUUCUUUACUAAGAAUAAUUCUGUAAACCGCAUCAUGUGCCGAUAGGUUGCAUACAUCCACCCUUUGUGUGUGAUUAUAAUGCUUUUGCUGUAUUAAUGUGCUGAUACUACAGUAGUUACCUGUUUUGACUUUUAGACUUUUUGGAUUGAUAAAUGCACUUAAUUUAAAGGCACAUGUUUUCGACAUGCAAACCUUUUAGUAAACUACAGCCUUAUAGUGAUCAAAAGAGCAGCUAUUCAGAUUUUCUAUUCUAUUCGUUUCUGUAUUUUCAUUUCAUUCUACUGUUAGUGAUGUUCCUCUGAAGGAGUAUUGUUUUUUAUGAAUAUUUUCUCUUGAAUUCCAAAAAUAAAGACUCAGCUGUUAUGAA
Long non-coding RNA from Carassius carassius (crucian carp), 999 nucleotides. RefSeq lists it as uncharacterized. Lineage: Eukaryota; Metazoa; Chordata; Actinopteri; Cypriniformes; Cyprinidae. The transcript is spliced from 2 exons. The record is from RefSeq and is a predicted model, not a curated record.